AUAAGUAUAUAUAGAUAAUAAUAAAUGGAAUUCGGUGCAAAUCCGAAACGGUCCCGCCACUGUAAGAACAUUGUUCAAGUCAGGUCUUUUUAUUAAUAUCUUUGGUGUAACUACUUCGAGGCAAAGUAGUAAACAAG
Molecule: small RNA, 137 nt
Filed under: Atopostipes suicloacalis
Lineage: Bacteria; Bacillati; Bacillota; Bacilli; Lactobacillales; Carnobacteriaceae
Also listed under: 1 other name
Source: RNAcentral